Nicotiana attenuata is the source of this 1897-nucleotide RNA transcript. RefSeq lists it as uncharacterized. Lineage: Eukaryota; Viridiplantae; Streptophyta; Magnoliopsida; Solanales; Solanaceae. The record is from RefSeq and is a predicted model, not a curated record. The transcript is spliced from 6 exons.
UCUUAGAAUCCGAACCAGAAUACAACAAUUUGUAAGAAAUCAAUUGGUCUCACUCUCGUUUCCUUCUCUGCUCUCAGUCCUCGUCUCCACCGUCCCUCGCCACCGCCCACCGCCACAAAAAGGCCUGUAGGGAUUUGCAAUUUAGUGCAGAUAUGGGAAGUGAUAAGUGGGCAAGUUUUUCAGAAGGAACGAGUGAUUCUGAAGGCUAUGGGGAGGAUCUUGAUGAUGAUGACCAUUGCUGUGCAUACGCGUCCGCUGAUAUACCCCAGUUGCAGUUCAGGAAAGAUAUUUCAACAUCGCGGUGGCUUGACCAAUUAGGAAUGGCUGAGGUCGUGGAGAGGAAGGGUGGAUUGUGGACAACUACUGGGAUAGUUCGUAACGGCAAGAUAUAUUGCUUCAUUGAAGAGAUUUUGUAGAUAUCUUGCCGAAAUUGGGGCUCUACAUCUCUUCAGCAACGAUGACACACCCCUUUCUUUGGAACACAUAUACAACAAGGUUGCAGAAGGAAAUAGAGGAUGUUCCUCAGAAUAUUUUGAAGCAUAUAAGCAGUUGAAAUCCCUUGGUUAUAUAGUCGGGCGUCAUGGUAUUCCUUGGUCAGUGAGAAGAUCAAAAGUAAACUCUGUUAUUAGCCAAGAUCCCCCGGAAACUGCUCAAAGUGGAGAUGAAGAAUCAAGAAACAACAUUCUCAUCACUGAAUGUUCAGUAAUAUGCAAAUUGGUGGAUUGAGACUGGCUUUUGACGUUUACCCUCCUAAUAGCAGAUUCAGAAAGUCUACUCCUGGUGAUCCCUGCUUUGUACUUUGUCUUGCUAGUGAGUAUCCACCUUCCAAAGAAGAGAUUGAAGAUCUUGAGGGACAUUCUCAUGGUGUUCCUUUGAAAUUUUGUCUGGUUGAGCAUGGGCGUGUGAGCUUUUUCUCAUUCAACAAAGUUGAGCUUCCUAUCUUUCCAUGAUCCGUUCGAGUAACGAAUGCAAAUCUUGUGAUGCGAUGAGAAGAGCUAUGUUCAUUAAAGAUAGAUUGGUGUGAGCGGUGAUAUUAAGAGCAGCAAGAUUUGCUUAGUCGAUCAUGCUGCUCCACACAGACAACUUUCUUGCAUAGUUACACGGUAUUUAUGCUGGUGGGAGAUGGUGGAGUAGUCAAAGUGCACAAGCUGGCCCGAACACUACUGUCUUUAAAGAAAUAAUCAUGCUGCUCCACAAGGGCGACGUUCUUGUGUAGUUGUGGUUAAGCCACCAUCUUCUACCCCAUGACAGUCUCAACCUGUAACUCUAAAUCCGGCCACAAGAUUCAAGGAUGAACCUUACAUGGAGUUCCAAUUCUGCUAAUUUGAAAGAUAAAACCGAUUAAAGCUUUCAAAUUUUCUCAAAACAACCUCAAAAAGAGGGGCAUACAGCUUGGGAACAGGUGUUAUAUGUGCCAUCAAUGCUCAGAAAGUAGCUUAUUCCUACAUCGCUCAGUGGCUGCAGACUUAUGGAACAUGUUUUAUUCAUUUUUAGCACUCAACUGGGUUAUGCCAGACACUAUCAGGGAUGUAUUCAAAAGUUGGAAAUUACGUCUGAGAAAUGGUCCCUGCAAGUAACUUUGUGUGGGUAUGGACAGAAAUUAAAUCGCAGAUGUUUUGAUGGAGUUGCAACUCCAAAUCACUCCCUAUAAGCUAAAUGUCUUUACAAUUUAUUCUGCUGAAGCUACUUGUCUCCUGUACAUAAUAGUGAUCAUAUUUUGGACUUUGUUAGCUCUCUGAUUUUAUGUUAGAGAGCACUCGUGUAACGGAGCUCACUCUCUCUUUUGUACCUAGCUUGGCAGAUACACUUUUUAGUUUUUAUUGAAAGUGAACUGUAGUAGAUUUAAUAGUGUAAAAAUUAUUUUAUACUUCUUCGUAUCAAAGUUAAACUCCAAAUG